GCUUUUCUCAUUUGGCAAUACAAUCAAACAUCUCCCUUUGUUUAUAAAUACAGAUUGAUAUUGACCGAAGACUGCAGGACUCCAAGAUGGCGGCAGCCACUCCAGUGAAAAGAAAGAAACUCACAGAUGUCAAAAUAGGGGAGCUGCCAAGCAGGAUAUGGAUGUGGGAUUUCACCCCAGAGACACUGUUGGAGCGUCUCAAAGCAGUUACUACCGGUUCUACAACAGAUGAUUUGCUCUUGAACAAUUAACAGACUGAAGGCUGCGUUCCAUCUCCUCACGCUCUCCUGCCAAGGCACCCCUGGGAGUUCAGCAGGAGGAAGGUUUUCUUCUUGAUCCUGUUACUCCUGCCCAGCAUCGAGAAGGAUUAAUUAACCCACCAGGUUUCGCCUCAUUACCAGGAAGGAAGAAAAGUCAGUGACAUCGGAAUUCAAACAUGGAGAAAGCCAAGAAUAGGGUGCUCGAGAGGCUGCAAGCCCUUCUAAGAGCCGGGCUGGCCAGUGGGUGACCCGGCUGGUACAGGUUAUAGACCCUCACAGUCCUUGUGUAUCAUCCUCAGAACUCACACUUCCGUUCUGCAAAAUGGACCACAAACUCUGAGCGGAGCCCCACAGGGGCCAAUAAGAAACUGUCUCAUUCUUCAGAAGCUCACUGUCUGGUCUGGACUGGGGAGCACACUCACACCCAUUUCUCUGGCUUGUUGUGUGAAUUAAUUAAAUGUGGUACCAUGUGUGAAAGGACUUGGUAACUAAGUGCUAUGUAAACGUUAGUUAUUACCAUUCAACACUUGGUAUGCGAUGGCAACCCACUCCAGUACUCUUGCCUGGAAAAUCCCAUGGACAGAGGAGCCUGGUGGGCUGCCGUCUACGGGGCUGCACAGAGUCGGACACAACUGAAGCGACUUAGCAGCAGCAGCAGCAUGCUGACAUUCCAACAGUGUCUGAGCCCUUAUUUGGGAAGAGGACUGUGUGUGGAGCUAACGGUUAGGUGAAAGGACUGAAACCAUUUUCUUUGCUGUUCUGGAAAGCACAACAGAUGUGCACACGAAAUACCAACGACAGAUCCCGGGCCUCAAAACAAAGUUUCAUCUCACACACCAGCCAGGGCUGGUUGGAUGGUCAUCUGGAGUACUUGCUAAAAUGGAUUCUGAAGUUGUUUCUAAGCUCAGUUUGAAAGGAUGUUGAGGCCAAAAUGAAGUGCUUGUUGGUCUUCAAAUCCCAUUGACCCAGUGUUUAUCCACGAAGACAGGCU
Molecule: long non-coding RNA, 1251 nt
Organism: Bos indicus x Bos taurus (hybrid cattle)
Lineage: Eukaryota; Metazoa; Chordata; Mammalia; Artiodactyla; Bovidae
Source: Ensembl